CGUGAGGAACCUGCCUUUCAGUGGGGGGACAACAGUUGGAAACGACUGCUAAUACCGCAUAACAUAUCUGCAUCGCAUGGUGUGGAUAUCAAAGAUUUAUCGCUGAGAGAUGGCCUCGCGUCUGAUUAGCUAGUUGGUGGGGUAACAGCCCACCAAGGCGACGAUCAGUAGCCGGCCUGAGAGGGUGAACGGCCACAUUGGGACUGAGACACGGCCCAAACUCCUACGGGAGGCAGCAG
RNAcentral lists this ribosomal RNA (239 nucleotides) under uncultured bacterium. RNAcentral's name for it is "partial 16S ribosomal RNA". It matches the Rfam family "Bacterial small subunit ribosomal RNA", at positions 116 to 354 of the family's 1533-position model. The record is from RNAcentral.